CCUACGGGAGGCAGCAGUGGGGAAUAUUGGGCAAUGGGCGCAAGCCUGACCCAGCAACGCCGCGUGAAGGAAGAAGGCUUUCGGGUUGUAAACUUCUUUUCUCAGGGACGAAGCAAGUGACGGUACCUGCGGAAUAAGCCACGGCUAACUACGUGCCAGCAGCCGCGGUAAUACGUAGGUGGCAAGCGUUAUCCGGAUUUACUGGGUGUAAAGGGCGUGUAGGCGGGAAAGCAAGUCAGAUGUGAAACCCAUGGGCUCAACCUGUGGCCUGCAUUUGAAACUGUUUUUCUUGAGUACUGGAGAGGCAGACGGAAUUCGUAGGGUAGCGGUGAAAUGCGUAGAUAGUAGGAGGAACACCAGUGGCGAAGGCGGUCUGCUGGACAGCAACUGACGCUGAGGCGCGAAAGCGUGGGGAGCAAACAGGAUUAGAUACCCCAGUAGUC
RNAcentral lists this ribosomal RNA (443 nucleotides) under uncultured bacterium. RNAcentral's name for it is "partial 16S ribosomal RNA". It matches the Rfam family "Bacterial small subunit ribosomal RNA", at positions 338 to 795 of the family's 1533-position model. The record is from RNAcentral.